AGCAGCCACGGUAAUACGAAGGGGGCUAGCGUUACUCGGAAUUACUGGGCGCAAAGGGCGCGUAGGCGGCACGAUUAGUCAGGCGUGAAAUUCCUGGGCUCAACCUGGGGACUGCGCUUGAUACGGUCGAGCUAGAGGAUGGAAGAGGGUUGUGGAAUUCCCAGUGUAGAGGUGAAAUUCGUAGAUAUUGGGAAGAACACCGGUGGCGAAGGCGGCAACCUGGUCCAUUACUGACGCUGAGGCGCGACAGCGUGGGGAGCAAACAGGAUUAGAUACCCAAGUAGUCCCUGUCUCUUAUACA
RNAcentral lists this ribosomal RNA (301 nucleotides) under uncultured bacterium. Its description in RNAcentral is "partial 16S ribosomal RNA". It matches the Rfam family "Bacterial small subunit ribosomal RNA", at positions 510 to 808 of the family's 1533-position model. The record is from RNAcentral.